GACGAACGCUGGCGGCGUGCUUAACACAUGCAAGUCGAACGGAAAGGCCCUGCUUUUGUGGGGUGCUCGAGUGGCGAACGGGUGAGUAACACGUGAGUAACCUGCCCUUGUCUUUGGGAUAACUUCAGGAAACUGGGGCUAAUACCGGAUAGGAGCUCCUGCUGCAUGGUGGGGGUUGGAAAGUUUCGGCGGUAGGGGAUGGACUCGCGGCUUAUCAGCUUGUUGGUGGGGUAGUGGCUUACCAAGGCUUUGACGGGUAGCCGGCCUGAGAGGGUGACCGGCCACAAGGGGACUGAGAUACGGCCCAGACUCCUACGGGAGGCAGCAGUGGAGAAUAUGGCACAGUGGGCGGAAGCCUGAUGCAGCAACGCCGCGUGCGGGAUGACGGCCUUCGGGUUGUAAACCGCUGUCGCCUGUGACGAAGCGUGAGUGACGGUAAUGGGUAAAGAAGCACCGGCUAACUACGUG
RNAcentral lists this ribosomal RNA (468 nucleotides) under uncultured bacterium. RNAcentral's name for it is "partial 16S ribosomal RNA". It matches the Rfam family "Bacterial small subunit ribosomal RNA", at positions 28 to 507 of the family's 1533-position model. The record is from RNAcentral.